This 426-nucleotide ribosomal RNA is filed under the name uncultured bacterium. RNAcentral's name for it is "bacterial SSU rRNA". It matches the Rfam family "Bacterial small subunit ribosomal RNA", at positions 355 to 794 of the family's 1533-position model. The record is from RNAcentral.
UUAGGAAUAUUGGGCAAUGGGAGGAAACUCUGACCCAGCAACGCCGCGUGAAGGAUGAAGGUCUUCGGAUUGUAAACUUCUGUUCUAAGGGACGAAACAAAUGACGGUACCUUAGAAGAAAGCCCCGGCAAACUACGUGCCAGCAGCCGCGGUGAUACGUAGGGGGCAAGCGUUGUCCGGAAUGACUGGGCGUAAAGGGAGUGUAGGCGGUUCUUUAAGUUAAAUGUGAAAUCCUGAGGCUUAACCUCAGAACUGCAUUUAAUACUGGGGAACUUGAGUGUGGGAGAGGUAAGUGGAAUUCCUAGUGUAGCGGUGGAAUGCAUAGAUAUUAGGAGGAACAUCAGAGGCGAAGGCGACUUACUGGAACACAACUGACGCUGAGGCUCGAAAGCGUGGGGAGCAAACAGGAUUAGAUACCCUGGUAGU